GACGAACGCUGGCGGCGUGCCUAAUACAUGCAAGUCGAACGCAUUUUCUUUCACCGUAGCUUGCUACACCGAAAGAAAAUGAGUGGCGAACGGGUGAGUAACACGUGGGUAACCUGCCCAUCAGCGGGGGAUAACACUUGGAAACAGGUGCUAAUACCGCAUAAUUCCAUUUACCGCAUGGUAAAUGGAUGAAAGGCGCUUUUGCGUCACUGAUGGAUGGACCCGCGGUGCAUUAGCUAGUUGGUGGGGUAACGGCCUACCAAGGCUGCGAUGCAUAGCCGACCUGAGAGGGUGAUCGGCCACACUGGGACUGAGACACGGCCCAGACUCCUACGGGAGGCAGCAGUAGGGAAUCUUCGGCAAUAGACGCAAGUCUGACCGAGCAACGCCGCGUGAGUGAAGAAGGUUUUCGGAUCGUAAAACUCUGUUGUUAGAGAAGAACAAGGAUGAGAGUGGAAAGUUCAUCCCUUGACGGUAUCUAACCAGAAAGCCACGGCUAACUACGUG
Molecule: ribosomal RNA, 507 nt
Filed under: uncultured bacterium
Lineage: Bacteria
Description: partial 16S ribosomal RNA
Rfam family: Bacterial small subunit ribosomal RNA
Source: RNAcentral